Molecule: ribosomal RNA, 267 nt
Filed under: uncultured bacterium
Lineage: Bacteria
Description: partial 16S ribosomal RNA
Rfam family: Bacterial small subunit ribosomal RNA
Source: RNAcentral
CGAUUCGAGUGGCGGACGGGUGAGUAACGCGUGGGUAACCUGCCUUACACAGGGGGAUAACACCUGGAAACAGGUGCUAAUACCGCAUAAGCGCACAGGGCCGCAUGGCCCGGUGUGAAAAACUCCGGUGGUGUAAGAUGGACCCGCGUCUGAUUAGCUUGUUGGCGGGGUAGGGGCCCACCAAGGCGACGAUCAGUAGCCGGCCUGAGAGGGUGGACGGCCACGUUGGGACUGAGACACGGCCCAAACUCCUACGGGAGGCAGCAG